GAUCAUGGCUCAGGAUGAACGCUAGCGGCAGGCUUAACACAUGCAAGUCGAGGGGCAGCGAGAUCAAAGCUUGCUUUGAUUGUCGGCGACCGGCGCACGGGUGCGUAACGCGUAUGCAACCUACCCACUACAGGGGGAUAACACUGAGAAAUCGGUACUAAUACCCCAUAAUAUCUUGGAAGGCAUCUUCUGGGGUUGAAAACUCCGGUGGUAGUGGAUGGGCAUGCGUUGUAUUAGG
RNAcentral lists this ribosomal RNA (238 nucleotides) under uncultured bacterium. RNAcentral's name for it is "partial 16S ribosomal RNA". It matches the Rfam family "Bacterial small subunit ribosomal RNA", at positions 15 to 245 of the family's 1533-position model. The record is from RNAcentral.